UACGUAGGGUCCGAGCGUUGUCCGGAAUUAUUGGGCGUAAAGAGCUCGUAGGCGGUUUGUCGCGUCUGCUGUGAAAACUCGGGGCUUAACCCCGGGCCUGCAGUGGGUACGGGCAGACUAGAGUGCGGUAGGGGAGACUGGAAUUCCUGGUGUAGCGGUGAAAUGCGCAGAUAUCAGGAGGAACACCGGUGGCGAAGGCAGGUCUCUGGGCCGUAACUGACGCUGAGGAGCGAAAGCGUGGGGAGCGAACAGG
This 253-nucleotide ribosomal RNA is filed under the name uncultured bacterium. RNAcentral describes it as "partial 16S ribosomal RNA". It matches the Rfam family "Bacterial small subunit ribosomal RNA", at positions 524 to 776 of the family's 1533-position model. The record is from RNAcentral.